AAUUUCAGCUAAAAAAGUCAUGAACAUAAAAGUUGUAGAACUCAUCAAGACAUACAACUUUUAUUUUGGUAAUUUCUUCAUUUGAUAAAGUGAUAGUAACAUUGUUCAUAAAAUUUACAUAUCUCUCUUAUAGUUUAUAAAACGAAAUGAGAGAUAUGUAAAUUUUGUGAACAAUGUUACUGUCACUUUUUCAGAUGAAGAAAUGACCAAAAUAAAAGUUAUAGAUCUUGAUGAGUUAUACAACUUUGUUGUUGAUGACUUUUUCAGUUGAAAUC
Oryza sativa Indica Group (long-grained rice) is the source of this 275-nucleotide microRNA precursor. It matches the Rfam family "MIR821 microRNA precursor family". Lineage: Eukaryota; Viridiplantae; Streptophyta; Magnoliopsida; Poales; Poaceae. The record is from Rfam.